GACGAACGCUGGCGGCGUGCCUAAUACAUGCAAGUAGAACGCUGAAGGAGGAGCUUGCUUCUCUGGAUGAGUUGCGAACGGGUGAGUAACGCGUAGGUAACCUGCCUGGUAGCGGGGGAUAACUAUUGGAAACGAUAGCUAAUACCGCAUAAUAUUGACUAUUGCAUGAUAGUCAGUUGAAAGGUGCAACUGCACCACUACCAGAUGGACCUGCGUUGUAUUAGCUAGUUGGUGGGGUAACGGCUCACCAAGGCGACGAUACAUAGCCGACCUGAGAGGGGGGUCGGCCACACUGGGACUGAGACACGGCCCAGACUCCUACGGGAGGCAGCAGUAGGGAAUCUUCGGCAAUGGACGGAAGUCUGACCGAGCAACGCCGCGUGAGUGAAGAAGGUUUUCGGAUCGUAAAGCUCUGUUGUAAGAGAAGAACGAGUGUGAGAGUGGAAAGCUCACACUGUGACGGUAUCUUACCAGAAAGGGACGGCUAACUACGUG
This 495-nucleotide ribosomal RNA is filed under the name uncultured bacterium. Its description in RNAcentral is "partial 16S ribosomal RNA". It matches the Rfam family "Bacterial small subunit ribosomal RNA", at positions 28 to 507 of the family's 1533-position model. The record is from RNAcentral.